Eriocheir sinensis (Chinese mitten crab) is the source of this 6382-nucleotide RNA transcript. It is a transcript of the gene named ubiquitin thioesterase zranb1-B-like, with no coding region annotated. The transcript has 11 exons. NCBI's taxonomy places the organism in Eukaryota, Metazoa, Arthropoda, Malacostraca, Decapoda, Varunidae. The record is from RefSeq and is a predicted model, not a curated record.
GGUGUCUGUGAAGGUCAAGUGUCUGCUCCGUGUGGCCGGUGUUCUGUGCCUGUGUGUUCUGUGCUUGUGUCGGGUCAUUGGGCCAGUAUGAGGGUGGCUGUGUGGGCAGGACAGCCACAGACCUAAGCAAUCUGAGGCUUAGGUUAUCCCCUCAAUACGAUGGUGUUGAGAUAGUGCACGGCCCAGCCUGAGUGUGUGUCUAAGAUGGUCAGGUGGUGAGGCGCCGCCCUCCAGGGCUGCCACCCCCCCUUGCCACACCCCGCCCCCCCGUGCAUGGCCGGGGAGUCCCUGUAACUGCCACACCAGGCUCUGCCACCAUGAGUGAGGGCGGCAGCAAGUGGUCCUGCGGGAGAUGCACGUACCUCAACUUUGCCAAUGCCAUCCGCUGCACCAUGUGCACGGUGCCCCGCCCCCCUCACCUUAUAGUGGAGGCUGGGGCAGACAUCUACCAGCUGGCCCCCCCCUCGCCCGCACCCCGGCCGCCGGAGGGGCCACCGCCGCCUCAGGAUGGAGACAAGUGGGUGUGUCACAUGUGCACUUACCGCAACUACCCGCGGGCCCUGCGCUGCACCCAGUGCCGCACGCCCCGGCUGUCCCUGGCUGACCAGAUGGCUGACCUGACCCUGGCCAAGCCGGCCACCCCCUCGCCGGCCACCACCGCGCCCCCUACGGUGCCCGUCAUCAUCACCGCCGUGGCCACCACUGCACCCACUGCCUUAGCCCCGCCCACCCCCUCCAUCACCACCAUCACCGCCACCACCACCACCACCACCGCAGCUGCCGCCUCCACCACUGCCAACAACCGCACGUCUGCCUCCAGUCAGGGCAGAACCCCGGCAGCUCAGGGUGGGGGUGGGGCACCCCAGGGGGCAGGGGCAGAGCACCAGAGUCCCGGGGGAGGGACACCUCCGGGGGGUGCUGGGCGGUGUAGCCCCCAGGGGGCCGGACUUUCUCACCCCCAGCCCCGGCCCGGCCCGGAGCUCAAUGUGCCCAGCUACAAGUGGCGGUGCCGCGCCUGCACCUACGAGAACUGGCCCCGGUCCGGGCGCUGCGUGAUGUGCUCCACCCUCAAGGGCCACGGCUCAACACCCGACCAGCCCCAACCCGCCCGUCUGGCCACCCCGCCCCCACCCAGCGAGGGGACACGGACCCUUGUUGGUGGGGGCGUGACCCCCGGGGUGUCUGAGCCCACCGCUGGGGAGGUGCACAUCAUCUGUGAGUCCGGCGAGGACCAGCAGGCUGACAACAACGCCAAGAACAGGGACAACAUCAAUGAGAUCAACAAGGCACGCAGCAGCGAGGGCAGCGGGGCGCCCCCGGAGGCCUCCAUCAUCGCCCCCAGGAACUCCAGUGACUCCAAGGAGACCGUACCCCAGGGGCCCGGGGCCAACACUGCCGGGGCGGGCGGGGGCAGCCUGCGGCCCGGCGGGGAGGGGGCCAUGGCUCUCAACAACUACGAGACAGAGCGGCUGCUGAGGCAGCUGCGGCGGCGGCUGAGGGAGGCUGACUGGGCCUGGCUCAACGCUUGCAAUGGUGUAGUGGAAGGAAACUAUGAACCUGUGGAGGCCUACCUCUCAGCCGGUGGUGACCCCAUGCGGCAGCUAACCAGUGCUGACGUGAAGCUGUUGUCCCGCUCCUCAGCUUUCGACGAGGGGCACACGCUCGUCCACCUGGCCAUAAGGUUCGGCCGGGAGGAUCUCCUAGCCACCAUACUGUCGAGAAUGGACGGGGGCGGCACUGGGGUCAAGCGAGUGCCGUCCUACGUGGCCCCAGACCUAGCCAAUGACAUCCGCCGGCACCUCUCGGCCUCCAUCAGGCAACGCAAGGGCCCCAUCCCAUGCUAUUUUGUCUCGGAGUUCGUCACAUUCUCCCUCCCUGCCGAAAUCGAGGACCUGCCAGUCAGUGUGCAGGAGCAGCUGUUUGAGGAGCUGCUGGACCGGGACGCACAGAAGCAGCUGGAGGAGGACGCACCCAUCAUCAACUGGUCCCUGGAAAUCACCGACCGCCUUGGGGCCCGCCUCUACGCCCUCUGGAACCGCACUGCAGGUGACUGCCUCCUCGACUCCAUCCUGCAGUCCACCUGGGGCGUGUUUGACCGGGAAAAUGUUCUCCGGAGAGCGUUGUCAGACAGUCUUUCAGAAGCAUCUCAUUUGUUUUACCCACGCUGGAAGGAGUAUGAGCGCUGGCAGGCACGGCUCCUUGACUAUUAUGUUCCCGAGGGUCAGGUUCUGGAGGAGUGGGCCGAGCUAAUCUGCCUCGCCUCCCAGCCCGGUGCGGCCCUAGAGCAGCUGCAUAUCUUCGUCCUGGCGCACAUCCUCCGUCGGCCCAUCGUUGUGUAUGGUGUGAAGUGCGUCAAGAGCUUCCGGGGAGAGGACUUGGGCUAUGCGAGAUUUGAAGGUGUGUACCUACCUCUUCUCUGGGAGCCCACCUUCUGCUGCAAGUCCCCCAUCGCUCUUGGCUACACUCGCGGCCACUUCUCCGCCCUUGUACCCAUGGAGCCAGACACUCCCGACAACUUGGGUGCUGGCGCUAUUCUGGAUGCAGGGGAGUCUCAAGUAGUGUUCCUGCCCCUCAUGACACACGACGCCAAGCUCCUGCCCGUGCAUUUCAUCACCCAGGCUGAGGUUGGGUGUGAGGAGUCGUUGCUGAGGCAGUGGCUGGAGGUGUGCGUCAGCGAGGGGGGCGUGCUGGUGGCUCAGCAGCGGCUCACCAAGAAGCCGCUGGCCGUCGCCCAGAUGACUGAGGAGUGGCUCAACCACUACCGGAGGCUUGCGUAAGUCUGGCCACCCUCUGCUGUGGGGGCUGUGCUGCUGCUGCUGCUGCUGCUACUACUGAGUCCUACAAAUGGAGUGUGCGCCCUACCACCGGCCACUCCCCACUCAGGGCUACUCCAGCGAUGGGGACUCGGAGGAGGAGUGAUGCCGGGCCGGGGACGGUCACAACACAACGUAGGAGAUGACACCCUUCAUGGCACACUUGACACUUUCCCUCCCUCCAUUGCUGCUGACCAGAUCAUUGUGAGGACAUCUUCCAGUGAGGGUGGAUGGAUGCUGCCUGUCUGUCUGUCUGUCUGCUACUCCCACUGUUGCUGCUGCUGCUGCCUGCUGACUGAACCACCGACUGGGGGCACACACGCAGGUGUUCCCCAGUCCGAGGUGGUUCACGUGAUCUUGAUGCUUUAACCUAAAUUCUUCCUAUAGAGUGUUAUAAAAAAGUCUAAUGCUUUAUAUUAUGUGAAUUCUCAGUAGGAUGUUACACAAAAGUUUGAUGCUUUAUCCUAAAUUCUCAGUAGGACAUAAAGAAGAGUAAUUAUUUCCCAGAGUUCUGUGUGGAGUUCUAUCCUGAACGCUUUAUGUUAGGUUUAUAAGUUGUAGCCUCUACCUGAAAAUGCGACGACUUAAAAAUUAUUCUGCCAUAGGUGGCUAAUAUUCUUCUCUCAGGUUUGCCGUGAACUGAGUCAACUUACUUCCAGGUUUGCGUGUGGGAUAUAAUUUUACGAGGAUAUUUCGGCAGUGAUCGGUUACUCAAAAUUAUGAUGUUUCUGGAAUUAAGUUGCAGUAGAGGGCCAGAAGAUACACCCUCUCUCCUCCAGCCUCAAGGGGGACAAGAUUCAAUGCAAGACAGACAAUCAGACAAUCCUAGGGUGUAAGGAAACAGUCUUGCAUUUUGAGUAUCACUGAAGGCUGCACUCACACGAUAGAGGAGUCACAGAUAUAUAACAGGCGACUCAUUGUGUUCCAAGUGAAGAGAGUAUUUAUUCUAUCCACGGGAGUGCCAAAACCCACUUGCUGUUAACAUACUUUACUACUGAAAAAUUUAGCAUGGAGGCAUUCAUGCAUGAGUUAUACAAAUGUUGUACUAAAUAACUUCUUAACAAACCAGCAGAAGUAAGAUUGUGCCCUAGCUGGUGAGAGGAGGGUGUGUGUGUGCGUGUGUGUAUGUGUGUGCGUGUGGUAGUCUAGUGCAGGGCAGCCUUUUGGGGGGCAGGUGGUGGGGAGAGUCGCCCGGUCUCUCCCUGUCCUCCCUCCCUCUCUCUUUCACUCUUGGAUUAAUUGGCUGUUAAGUUGUUGUAUCAUAAAAGUAUAUUGUUUGCUAACGUGGAUGCCGCCGUUUAAUUGGUAAAUGAAUUAUUGGGUGUAGAGUGAGCAGUGGGGGAGAUCAGGCCGGGGAGGCAACCCACGGCCAGCCAGUCACCGGGGAGCGGCCCUCCCUGGCCUCUGCCACGUCUUCAGUUGUCAGCAUUAAAAGUGGCAUAAUACACCCUCGUUCCCACCCAGCAACGGCAGCUUCACUGAUGUGCUGGUCCACAAGCCAGGCUUGGGGCGGCACAGUCAGGUCUCCCGUCUUGGGUGUCACACUCCUCGUCACACUGUGACUGCUAAAUUUAAUGGUCAGGGAAUCUCAGUAUUCUGUAAAAGAGUGACACUUCUAAUUCUCAACACAGUGGUGGCGUUGGUGCCACGCAGCAUCCACACGCCAGGCAGGAAUGUGCUGUUGCUGUGCUCCCGACGGCCGAGUGCCGAUGAAGUUGACACCCUUGAGGAGACUUUACUGCACACAGAAACUGUGAGCUGCAUUUUUCCAUUCAUGGUGCCACCAGGCAAUGUGCACAGGCAUUUGUUACAUGCAUGGACACACAGCUACAAAAGGAUUUGACUCAGUACGUGGAUUACAUGAGCUGCAGGAAGGUUGGUCAAUAUUCCUGGUAAUCUUCAAUCCCUCGUGCUGACUGUGACGCGUCAGCCGGACGUUGGAAUGAUGACCUUUUCCGUAACAGUGGAGUGUAAUCCUUUGUGUAAUGAUUUGGUUGUGAGUUAUAUUUAUCAGUAUUUCCUGGACUCUGUCUUGCAUUGCUUGGUAUGUUGAUACAGAAUACUGCAUUUAACUUUCUUCUUUUGAGCACAAAGUAAAAUUUUCCUUCCAAUGCAACAGUUCUCCAGAGGAGGUGUUUUAGCCCCUGGUGCAGUAAGUCCUGAGUUGGUCUGUUCUCACAGCCUCGUGUCUUCUUCAAGUUGUGGCCACGUGCAGUCUCUCAGGAACAAGUUUUCUAAUCAGAAAUAAAUUGUUCCUGAGGAGGUCUUGGCAGCUAACUUGAAGAGACACGCAGGCCAGACAACAAAUAUGACGAGUUACUGUAUAGCCAGGCAGUUGCCAAAGAAAAUUUAGUCUUUGCAUUUUGGCUACCUAACCUGACUUAAGUUGCUCCCUCCGUCCAUGUCACCACUCCACCGUGUUGUGUUAGUUUCUCCCGCCACUAUCAUGUCAGUUAUCUCAUAGCUUUACGGCCAGCCUGUUGGUUCUGUCGUGUAAAUAUGUACAGCUCAGAACACCAGUUUCUGAUAAUUUUGAUGGAUAUUUUCAGUAUUCCCCUCCAAACAAAACAAAACAUAACAAAAAAAUUAGAAUGGAAUUCUUAAAAUACUGUAUCACAGUUUCCCAGACAGUUAUUAUUUCUUUGAGAUUUAUCCAUAGGUAAUAUAUUUCUAUACAGUUUUCUUUAUCUGGAUCACCAGCACUCAGCUACAUGGUGCACCAAACCUUGUAUCUGAAUAUGGAAAACAUGUUAAGGUGUAGUUAUAAAAGUCAAACACUGCUUUUUGCCUUCCGAAAGAACAGAUUUCCCAAAGUAAUUGGCAAGACCAAUCUUAGUUUAGUUCCAGGUGAUUGGAAAAGUAAGUUUCAUGACGUCACUCUGUUUCUGUUGUGGGUUGAGAGCAGUGUUUGGAGGAGCAGGAGUCCCGGCGCUCAGGUUGUGUCUGUUAGGCAGCGCCACGCCUCACCAUCGCUCUCAGCUUCUCCAUGGUUACAGUACAAACCAAGAACACAGUGGGAGGAAAUCUGAGGAACAAGAGCCUCGCAGGGCUUCCUGACGCUCGGCGUUACGAUACAAACACAGACAACGAGCGUCCUGAAGGGCCCCGGCCGGUUCCUUGAUUUCGCCCCGCAUAUUUAGCUGUCAGAACUGUAAAGUGGAAUUUUUGUAGUUUUGUCAGAGUCCUGUAGAAUUAUGGUCAUUCAUGCAUGAUGUGAUGUGCAGCGGCCGUGCUGGUUUUUUAAGGAGUAGUUUUAACCCCUGAUAAUGCAUAAUGGCUAGAUGUUUGUAAACUUUCCUGCUUUGAACUUUCUCGAGAGAAAAGCUCAAAUACCGGAGUUUAAAUUUUCCAGCCACGUUUUUCAUGGCAAGACUCGCCGCCAAAAGAAUAGUGUGUCCCUUUGUCACCAAGUCUGCCUGGCUAUAUUAGAAAUUAACUACAUGUUCAACAUAUAUGUUAUAUCACAGUUCUAGAAAGCUAACCCCACAAUGUAGUGUAUCUCCAUUGGAUUGUUUAUCAGAAAUUGUUAUGUAUAUAUAUAAUGAAAAUAUACAGAAUGCUUAAAAGGA